This 127-nucleotide microRNA precursor is filed under the name Gossypium hirsutum (cotton). RNAcentral describes it as "MIR7502 microRNA precursor family". It matches the Rfam family "MIR7502 microRNA precursor family". The record is from Rfam by way of RNAcentral. Lineage: Eukaryota; Viridiplantae; Streptophyta; Magnoliopsida; Malvales; Malvaceae.
UGUUAAAAUUUUUAUCUAUUUUUAUUAUAAAAAAUUGGCGUGGCUGACAGAAUAACACGCUAUAUGUAUCUCAUUAUGAUGUACAUGGAUCAAAUUUUAAUAGUAUAAAUUGAUGAUAUUUUUAAUA